Molecule: ribosomal RNA, 420 nt
Filed under: uncultured bacterium
Lineage: Bacteria
Description: bacterial SSU rRNA
Rfam family: Bacterial small subunit ribosomal RNA
Source: RNAcentral
UGGGGAAUCUUGGACAAUGGGGGAAACCCUGAUCCAGCCAUGCCGCGUGAGCGAUGAAGGCCUUAGGGUUGUAAAGCUCUUCCGUGGGGAAGAUAAUGACUGUACCCCAAGAAGAAGCCCCGGCUAACUCCGUGCCAGCAGCCGCGGUAAUACGGAGGGGGCUAGCGUUGUUCGGAAUUACUGGGCGUAAAGCGCACGUAGGCGGACCUGCAAGUUGGGGGUGAAAUCCCGAGGCUCAACCUCGGAACUGCCUUCAAAACUGCUGGUCUUGAGUUCGAGAGAGGUGAGUGGAAUUCCGAGUGUAGAGGUGAAAUUCGUAGAUAUUCGGAGGAACACCAGUGGCGAAGGCGGCUCACUGGCUCGAUACUGACGCUGAGGUGCGAAAGCGUGGGGAGCAAACAGGAUUAGAAACCCGAGUAG